GGGCAGUGCCUGGGCGGCAGGGUGAGAACCUACAGGUUCGAAAGGUGAGCGGAGCGAACCUAACAGCGGCGCAGCCGCUGGCCCCGAAGGGGCGGAGGGCGCAACCCGGAGUCAUCCUACCGCCCCAGCCA
Molecule: small RNA, 131 nt
Filed under: Sedimenticola selenatireducens
Lineage: Bacteria; Pseudomonadati; Pseudomonadota; Gammaproteobacteria; Chromatiales; Sedimenticolaceae
Description: RtT sRNA
Rfam family: RtT RNA
About the family: This family represents a bacterial cis-regulatory element known as RtT RNA.
Source: RNAcentral